GGUCGGAAGUUCAAGUCUUCCCAGGCCCACCACACUCAUCGAGUGAGCAUUCGUCUUCUGGUUACGGGGCCAUAGCUCAGCUGGGAGAGCGCGUGCUUUGCAAGCAUGAGGUCGUCGGUUCGAUCCCGUCUGGCUCCACCAGAUGGUUUGAUCAUCGACUGAUCGUGCACCUGAAAUCGUCCGCGAAACAUCACUUCGCACCCACUAGUCCGGAUGGACGGUGACGUGCGUGAUUUCUGACAUCGUAAAGAGGAGAUCGAUCCGAGUUGGAUCGUGCAGCAAGCAAUUGCUACGCGAUACUUCAUUAUCUCCGGAUCAUUUCGGCGCUCGUGCGUCUUCCAAGGUAGCUCACAAGGCUGCAUUGAAAGACAGGCGAGUUGUAAAUGAUCCUUUUAGCGAAGCUUGACCGCCUCGCUAUCGGAACGAUCUUACAAGCAAGCUGGUCUUUCUAAUCAUUGUCCGGCUGCAGAUAGCGUUCAUCGAGGGCGCGUGCCGCAAGGCAGUUCUGCAGACAACAUUCUGCCGAGUGUGUGGACAUUGAUAAUGAGAGC
RNAcentral lists this transfer RNA (551 nucleotides) under Bradyrhizobium sp. S1.29. RNAcentral describes it as "partial 16S-23S ribosomal RNA intergenic spacer". The stretch from base 66 to 138 matches the Rfam family "tRNA". Lineage: Bacteria; Pseudomonadati; Pseudomonadota; Alphaproteobacteria; Hyphomicrobiales; Nitrobacteraceae. The record is from RNAcentral.